RNAcentral lists this ribosomal RNA (253 nucleotides) under uncultured bacterium. Its description in RNAcentral is "partial 16S ribosomal RNA". It matches the Rfam family "Bacterial small subunit ribosomal RNA", at positions 524 to 776 of the family's 1533-position model. The record is from RNAcentral.
UACGAAGGGUGCAAGCGUUAUUCGGAAUAAUUGGGCGUAAAGGGUGCGCAGGCGGUAUGUUAAGUCAAUCGUUAAAUUUCCCGGCUUAACUGGGAGCAAGCGGUAGAUACUGGCAAACUAGAGUAUGGAAGAGAGAAGUGGAAUUCUCGGAGUAGCGGUAAAAUGCGUAGAUCUCGAGAGGAACACCGAUGGCGAAGGCAGCUUCUUGGUCCAUUACUGACGCUCAGGUGCGAAAGCCAGGGGAGCAAACGGG